RNAcentral lists this ribosomal RNA (44 nucleotides) under Hamatocaulis vernicosus. RNAcentral describes it as "partial 18S ribosomal RNA". Lineage: Eukaryota; Viridiplantae; Streptophyta; Bryopsida; Hypnales; Calliergonaceae. The record is from RNAcentral.
AGUCGUAACAAGGUUUCNGUGGGGAACCUGCGGAAGGAUCAUUG